RNAcentral lists this ribosomal RNA (400 nucleotides) under uncultured bacterium. RNAcentral describes it as "bacterial SSU rRNA". It matches the Rfam family "Bacterial small subunit ribosomal RNA", at positions 355 to 747 of the family's 1533-position model. The record is from RNAcentral.
UCGAGAAUCUUUCGCAAUGGGCGCAAGCCUGACGAAGCGACGCCGUGUGAGCGAAGAAGGCCUUCGGGUUGUAAAGCUCUUUCGCUAGGGAACAAGAAAGACAGGAUAACACCUUGUCAAUUUGAUGGUACUUGGUAAAGAAGCACCGGCUAACUCCGUGCCAGCAGCUGCGGUAAUACGGAGGGUGCAAGCAUUGAUCGGAAUUACUGGGCGUAAAGGGCGCGUAGGCGGUUUAAUAAGUCAGAUGUGAAAUUCCGGGGCUCAACCCCGGAGCUGCAUCCGAAACUGUUAGACUAGAGUGUAGUUAGGGAGAACGGAAUUCCACGUGUAGCGGUGAAAUGCGUAGAUAUGUGGAAGAACACCGGUGGUGAAGACGGUUCUCUGGGCUAUAACUGACGCU